Molecule: RNA transcript, 2081 nt
Organism: Macadamia integrifolia
Lineage: Eukaryota; Viridiplantae; Streptophyta; Magnoliopsida; Proteales; Proteaceae
Gene name: F-box protein SKIP17-like
Exons: 13
Source: RefSeq, a predicted model, not a curated record
UCCAUCUCUUGCAGAGUCACCACUUCUUCCGCUCCACCCGGUAUGGAUACGCUCAUCCAGUCUCCGUCCCUACCAAAACGACCCUGCUGUGGCGGAGAUCCUCUUCCCAUCGAGUUUUCGAGGUUUUCGACACCGGAACAGAUGGAUCAUCUCUUAGAAGCCUUUCUAGGGCUCUCAGAUUCCUCCUCCUUGUUUCUCGACAUCUCUCUCGAGCGGCUUCUAGAAUCUAGGGCUUCUGAUUCCGAACAAAACCUUAUGAUCGAGAAGGCUCUUAAGCUAGGUUCUGUUCUCAUCGAGGCCGGUAAACAAUCCGCUAGAAAGCGUGCUUCCCAGAAUAAUUCGAUAGUUUGGGCCCUGCCACCUGAUCUCACUCUCAAAGUAUUUUCCAUACUUGAUACAAGAAGCCUGUGUUAUGCUGCGGCAACUUGUUCAAUGUUCAAAAAUUGUGCCAUGGAGCCAUUAUGCUAUACAAAUAUUGACUUAACAUCAGUAAUCCCAAAGGUCAAUAACGCAGUUGUGUCUGCAAUGAUACAGAGAGCAGGAAAAAACCUCCAGUCUCUCAAGCUUGGUAUAUUGCCAAGCCCAACUCCAUCUCCAGGAUAUUCUCAACCUAUGGUUUUUAGCACCAAGAAUUCUGUAAAUGCAUCAGGUUAUUCUUGGAACAAUAAGAAGUCGAGGCAAUGUAAAGAGUCAUGUGUUCUUACAAGAUCCUGUCUGACAUCUUUAGGUGCAGAUGGUGGUGCUGCUGGGGCUUUGUUGAGGAGAUUGCACCUCUACAAUAUUGACAGAAUGGACAAUACAGCACUUUGUGCAGCAUUAUCAACAUGUCCGUCACUCCUGGAUCUAGAAAUUAUCGGACUUCACGUUGAGCUGAGGCAAACGUUGGAGUCUGUGAGCAAAAACUGUCACUUCAUAGAGCGGUUAUUCUUUGAGUCUUCUAAAACAGGUAGAGAUGACAGUUUGAAAUCUCCAACAUGUGUGGAUCUUGUAAAUGGUUGUCCCCAUCUAACUUCAUUGGCUCUUAGAGGAUUCAAGCUGCAUGAUUAUAAAGUCCGUAUACUUGUUAAGGGAUUUCGCCAGCUGAAAUCAGUUGAUUUUUCAACAUCCUAUUCAAUCACAGGCACCUUUUUAAGGAAUCUUGGUAGUGGAUCAAAUGGAGGUCAACUGGAGGUUAUAAUCUUACGUGAUUGCAUGCAUCUCAAAGAAAUGGAAGUUGCUCGGUUUCUUGCAGCAGUUCUUGCAGGGGACUUCAAAUUUCUUAGCCACCUUGACAUAUCCAACAGGGAAGGUCUAGCUGGAGAGGCAGAUUGGUAUCUAAGAACCCAAAGCCCAAGUAUUAUUCCUAUAAAGCGUGUCUUGGAGGAAAGGCCUGAGAUCUGCUUCCUAGCUGAAUUUCCUGAUGAGCCAAGCUAUAUUGAGAUAACUGACGGUGAUAUAGACAGUGACUUCAGUUUGUCAUUGCAAUUAAGUUUACCAUUUACAAGUUCAUCAGAAGGCAGCUAUAGUAGCGAUCAUGGCAGUGGCAAUGAGGAUGGUCGGGAUGUGGGUUAUGUAGUUUAUGAGGAAAGCUCGGACGAGGUGGACAUUUUGUCUAUCUAGGAAAGUUGUCAAGGAUGCUAUGAAGGCUGACUUUGAGUCUUCUAAGAUAGUAUCUAGAAGUUGACUCGACAAGAUAACUACUUUGCUUGCUACACCUUCCAAGUGCUUUACUAUUUCGGAUACAGAAGAGGCAGUGGGUCUGUACUUAUGGCCAGCGAAGCAAGGAAGACCUACAGUUCUUGGUGUUCUGCGGGACAAUAUAACCUGAUGGAGUCUAUAGUCACAUUUACUAAAGGAGUGCUGAGUUUGCAUUUAUCUAAGAGGCAUUUUCUAAUGUAAAUCAGCUCAAUUUGUUUGUAGAAAUCGUUGAAUUUUGAUCCUUGUCCAAAUGUGUUGGAUUCUGUAACUGGGGGCUGCUGCUGGCCUUAUGCGCCAUAUGUUCCAUUGAUCUGUUACCAUUCUCAUUGACGUGUGUUAAAUCUCUCAAUAUAUUGGCUAUAGAUUUCAAGUUUGAAUGCAGCAUAUAAUAUUUUGGCAGACAA